This 1756-nucleotide long non-coding RNA is filed under the name Canis lupus familiaris (dog). RNAcentral describes it as "lncRNA (ENSCAFG00040001600.1)". The record is from RNAcentral. Lineage: Eukaryota; Metazoa; Chordata; Mammalia; Carnivora; Canidae.
AGAGCGGCCAGGGAGGAAGAAGGGAGCAACUGGAGAAAGGACAGGGACCCAGCUGAGAAGGAGCAGCCGGGGGGGCAGGGGAAAGCCACAGCGAACCUUCCAGAAGGCAUGGCCACCUGGUUUCUGUGCUGUUGUCAGGGCGGACCGGGGUGGGGGCAGGUGACGCCCCAGGGCUAGCAACAGGGAGCCCCAGGACCUUGACUUGGUCUCUGGGAAGCUCUGGGAAGGGCCACCUGCUGACAGUGAUCGGGGUGGGGGCAGGGGGAUGGGAGAGGGAACCAGAGACGUUGAGUCAUAGGCAUCCUUGGUUUUGUGGAAGGACAGUGGAGAAAAGAUGCAGUGUUGCAGGGAGAUGAGGGUCCGGGGAGGCCCUGCCAUGAGGUUGGAGGGGUCAUGACGUGUCACAAUGAGCCACCAGAGGAUGCAGAGAAGGGGCUGGGGCUUCGGGGAAGCAGGAAGGACCCAGAGCCCGGGUCGGGUGCUCCUCAGAGAGACGCGGAGGAAAGGGGUGAGCAUGCAGCCUGUCUCCAGAUGCUCGUAAACAGCCGUGCCUACAGGGUGGCCACAGAGACCUUCUCGAAAACGUUGCCAAUGGCGCAGUGAUUGGCCUCUAUCUGCAAGGACCUCGAUGUCCUAUUUGGGAAAAUUGUUUAGUCAUGAGUGCAAUCUGUGUGAGAUGCAACAGCAAGCGAGGGUUGCGAGAAAUGAUCUGACUUGCAUUACAACUCCUAGGCCGGGAAGGCUCUGUUGGGUGACCGCUCCCUGUAUUUUUCCAUCAGCGGCAAAGUCGUUAGUGGCAUAAAGUGUCACUAACACGUGAAAGGAUGACCAGAGGAGAGAGACUCAUUCCACUUGACCAACCCAAACACCUGUGGAUCGGGUUAGGUGCUUCUUAUCCCUUGGUUCUGCAAGUAGGUUCUAGAAUCUCUCAAAGCAGAAUCGGGAGCAUCGCAGGGCUCCAGAAAAAUCUGCUGGCCCUACAGCGACCACAGAAAAUCCGUGACCUUCAGCGCAAGGGGCCUCCCAGCCCGUCUCCACCUCUUCUCCUUGGAACGCUCUCCAACACCCCCCGCGCAAGUCUAUGAAGACCAAGGAGAUCGCACGCCUACAAGAUGCAGACGCUUCUUGCUCUGGUCCCUGCUCUAGAAGAGAAGCCACAGACGUGAGUCACACACCCAGAGCCCUGUGUGUCUGCAGGGACCAGCUGGGCCAUCUGGUCUACCGGCCCCACAGCGCUGCGGUCACCCCCACCGCCGCUGUGCCAGCCCGCCCCGGCCAGCGCCACGGGCCCCUGGUGGGUUGAUGAGCCCACCUGCUUGUCUCCAGUGGCCACUGAGCCACCACCUCCAGCUGUGAGCCCCACGAGGACAGAGCCUCACUUACCCACUGUACCUUCCAAGACUACAACAUCUUUGGGCGUGUGGUAGGAAUUCAAUAACUACUUUGGGAUGAGCACAUGCAUAUUUACAGUGAUUACACUGGGGCAGGGGGACAAAGAAACUGAGAAAAUGAAAUUUGCUUUUCACUGAAUUCUCUGAAGUGUGAUUUUUUUUCCAAAUCUAUAGCAAACAAUGUGUUACGGAGAAUGACAAAUCCUGGAAGUAAAUAACCCUUCAUCCAAAAGGUGAUCCUGUGCUGAAAGGGCCUGUUGGGUCCUCUCAGGCCAACGGAGGAAAGGCGGGGCAGCCCGAGGAGCUUCAGCUGUGCCCCAGCCCCUUGCUCCCUUCACGGUCCCGAAACCAAUCCUAAAACAUUC